AAAGGGGGGAGCCUGUCUAUACAUCGCAAGUCGAACGAACUCUGGUAUUGAUUGGUGCUUGCAUCAUGAUUUACAUUUGAGUGAGUGGCGAACUGGUGAGUAACACGUGGGAAACCUGCCCAGAAGCGGGGGAUAACACCUGGAAACAGAUGCUAAUACCGCAUAACAACUUGGACCGCAUGGUCCGAGUUUGAAAGAUGGCUUCGGCUAUCACUUUUGGAUGGUCCCGCGGCGUAUUAGCUAGAUGGUGGGGUAACGGCUCACCAUGGCAAUGAUACGUAGCCGACCUGAGAGGGUAAUCGGCCACAUUGGGACUGAGACACGGCCCAAACUCCUACGGGAGGCAGCAGUAGGGAAUCUUCCACAAUGGACGAAAGUCUGAUGGAGCAACGCCGCGUGAGUGAAGAAGGGUUUCGGCUCGUAAAACUCUGUUGUUAAAGAAGAACAUAUCUGAGAGUAACUGUUCAGGUAUUGACGGUAUUUAACCAGAAAGCCACGGCUAACUACGUGCCAGCAGCCGCGGUAAUACGUAGGUGGCAAGCGUUGUCCGGAUUUAUUGGGCGUAAAGCGAGCGCAGGCGGUUUUUUAAGUCUGAUGUGAAAGCCUUCGGCUCAACCGAAGAAGUGCAUCGGAAACUGGGAAACUUGAGUGCAGAAGAGGACAGUGGAACUCCAUGUGUAGCGGUGAAAUGCGUAGAUAUAUGGAAGAACACCAGUGGCGAAGGCGGCUGUCUGGUCUGUAACUGACGCUGAGGCUCGAAAGUAUGGGUAGCAAACAGGAUUAGAUACCCUGGUAGUCCAUACCGUAAACGAUGAAUGCUAAGUGUUGGAGGGUUUCCGCCCUUCAGUGCUGCAGCUAACGCAUUAAGCAUUCCGCCUGGGGAGUACGGCCGCAAGGCUGAAACUCAAAGGAAUUGACGGGGGCCCGCACAAGCGGUGGAGCAUGUGGUUUAAUUCGAAGCUACGCGAAGAACCUUACCAGGUCUUGACAUACUAUGCAAAUCUAAGAGAUUAGACGUUCCCUUCGGGGACAUGGAUACAGGUGGUGCAUGGUUGUCGUCAGCUCGUGUCGUGAGAUGUUGGGUUAAGUCCCGCAACGAGCGCAACCCUUAUUAUCAGUUGCCAGCAUUAAGUUGGGCACUCUGGUGAGACUGCCGGUGACAAACCGGAGGAAGGUGGGGAUGACGUCAAAUCAUCAUGCCCCUUAUGACCUGGGCUACACACGUGCUACAAUGGAUGGUACAACGAGUUGCGAACUCGCGAGAGUAAGCUAAUCUCUUAAAGCCAUUCUCAGUUCGGAUUGUAGGCUGCAACUCGCCUACAUGAAGUCGGAAUCGCUAGUAAUCGCGGAUCAGCAUGCCGCGGUGAAUACGUUCCCGGGCCUUGUACACACCGCCCGUCACACCAUGAGAGUUUGUAACACCCAAAGUCGGUGGGGUAACUCUUUUAGGAACCAGCCGCGCUAACGGUAGUUCAGCGU
This 1479-nucleotide ribosomal RNA is filed under the name Lactiplantibacillus plantarum. RNAcentral's name for it is "bacterial SSU rRNA". It matches the Rfam family "Bacterial small subunit ribosomal RNA". The record is from RNAcentral. Lineage: Bacteria; Bacillati; Bacillota; Bacilli; Lactobacillales; Lactobacillaceae.